RNAcentral lists this ribosomal RNA (659 nucleotides) under uncultured bacterium. Its description in RNAcentral is "bacterial SSU rRNA". It matches the Rfam family "Bacterial small subunit ribosomal RNA", at positions 10 to 664 of the family's 1533-position model. The record is from RNAcentral.
AGUUUGAUCAUGGCUCAGAUUGAACGCUGGCGGCGUGCUUAACACAUGCAAGUCGAUCGGUAACGCGGGGGCAACCCUGGCGACGAGAGGCGGACGGGUGAGGAACGCUUGGGAAUCUGCCCAUCAGCGGGGGACAACCCGGGGAAACUCGGGCUAAUACCGCAUACGCUCCACGGAGGAAAGCAGGGGACCGCAAGGCCUUGCACUGAUGGAUGAGCCCAAGUCGGAUUAGCUAGUUGGCGGGGUAACGGCCCACCAAGGCGACGAUCCGUAGCUGGUCUGAGAGGACGAUCAGCCACACCGGAACUGAGACACGGUCCGGACUCCUACGGGAGGCAGCAGUGGGGAAUAUUGGACAAUGGGGGAAACCCUGAUCCAGCGACGCCGCGUGGGUGAAGAAGGCCUGCGGGUUGUAAAGCCCUUUCGGUAGGGACGAAAGCUCUCGACCUAACACGUCGGGAGGUUGACUUAACCUACAUAAGAAGCACCGGCUAACUCUGUGCCAGCAGCCGCGGUAAUACAGAGGGUGCGAGCGUUAAUCGGAAUUACUGGGCGUAAAGCGCACGUAGGCGGCUUUGCAAGUCGGUUGUGAAAUCCCCGGGCUCAACCUGGGAACUGCAUCCGAAACUGCAUUGCUAGAGUAUGGGAGAGGGAAGCGG